GCAAGUCGAACGAUCCUUCGGGAUAGUGGCAGACGGGUGAGUAACGCGUGGGAACCUUCCCUAUGGUACGGAAUAGCUCCGGGAAACUGGAAUUAAUACCGUAUAAGCCCUUCGGGGGAAUGAUUUAUCGCCAUAGGAUGGGCCCGCGUCGGAUUAGCUAGUUGGUGAGGUAACGGCUCACCAAGGCUACGAUCCGUAGCUGGUCUGAGAGGAUGAUC
Molecule: ribosomal RNA, 218 nt
Filed under: uncultured bacterium
Lineage: Bacteria
Description: partial 16S ribosomal RNA
Rfam family: Bacterial small subunit ribosomal RNA
Source: RNAcentral